RNAcentral lists this transfer RNA (74 nucleotides) under Actinomycetes bacterium. RNAcentral's name for it is "tRNA-Cys". It matches the Rfam family "tRNA". Rfam says of the family: Transfer RNA (tRNA) molecules are approximately 80 nucleotides in length. Their secondary structure includes four short double-helical elements and three loops (D, anti-codon, and T loops). The record is from RNAcentral. Lineage: Bacteria; Bacillati; Actinomycetota; Actinomycetes.
GGCGAUGUGGCCAAGCGGUAAGGCAGGGGCCUGCAAAGCCCUUAUCCCCGGUUCGAUUCCGGGCAUCGCCUCCA